RNAcentral lists this ribosomal RNA (1806 nucleotides) under Enterobacter asburiae. RNAcentral's name for it is "partial 23S ribosomal RNA". It matches the Rfam family "Bacterial large subunit ribosomal RNA", at positions 398 to 2187 of the family's 2925-position model. Lineage: Bacteria; Pseudomonadati; Pseudomonadota; Gammaproteobacteria; Enterobacterales; Enterobacteriaceae. The record is from RNAcentral.
UGUGAACUCGAAGAGUAGGGCGGGACACGUGGUAUCCUGUCUGAAUAUGGGGGGACCAUCCUCCAAGGCUAAAUACUCCUGACUGACCGAUAGUGAACCAGUACCGUGAGGGAAAGGCGAAAAGAACCCCGGCGAGGGGAGUGAAAAAGAACCUGAAACCGUGUACGUACAAGCAGUGGGAGCACCUUCGUGGUGUGACUGCGUACCUUUUGUAUAAUGGGUCAGCGACUUAUAUUCUGUAGCAAGGUUAACCGUAUAGGGGAGCCGAAGGGAAACCGAGUCUUAACUGGGCGUUAAGUUGCAGGGUAUAGACCCGAAACCCGGUGAUCUAGCCAUGGGCAGGUUGAAGGUUGGGUAACACUAACUGGAGGACCGAACCGACUAAUGUUGAAAAAUUAGCGGAUGACUUGUGGCUGGGGGUGAAAGGCCAAUCAAACCGGGAGAUAGCUGGUUCUCCCCGAAAGCUAUUUAGGUAGCGCCUCGUGAACUCAUCUUCGGGGGUAGAGCACUGUUUCGGCUAGGGGGCCAUCCCGGCUUACCAACCCGAUGCAAACUACGAAUACCGAAGAAUGUUAUCACGGGAGACACACGGCGGGUGCUAACGUCCGUCGUGAAGAGGGAAACAACCCAGACCGCCAGCUAAGGUCCCAAAGUCAUGGUUAAGUGGGAAACGAUGUGGGAAGGCACAGACAGCCAGGAUGUUGGCUUAGAAGCAGCCAUCAUUUAAAGAAAGCGUAAUAGCUCACUGGUCGAGUCGGCCUGCGCGGAAGAUGUAACGGGGCUAAACCAUGCACCGAAGCUGCGGCAGCGACGCUUAUGCGUUGUUGGGUAGGGGAGCGUUCUGUAAGCCGUUGAAGGUGUGCUGUGAGGCAUGCUGGAGGUAUCAGAAGUGCGAAUGCUGACAUAAGUAACGAUAAAGCGGGUGAAAAGCCCGCUCGCCGGAAGACCAAGGGUUCCUGUCCAACGUUAAUCGGGGCAGGGUGAGUCGACCCCUAAGGCGAGGCCGAAAGGCGUAGUCGAUGGGAAACAGGUUAAUAUUCCUGUACUUGGUGUUACUGCGAAGGGGGGACGGAGAAGGCUAUGUUAGCCGGGCGACGGUUGUCCCGGUUUAAGCAUGUAGGCGGAGGUUCCAGGUAAAUCCGGUACCUUUUAACGCUGAGGUGUGAUGACGAGGCACUACGGUGCUGAAGUAACAAAUGCCCUGCUUCCAGGAAAAGCCUCUAAGCAUCAGGUAACACGAAAUCGUACCCCAAACCGACACAGGUGGUCAGGUAGAGAAUACCAAGGCGCUUGAGAGAACUCGGGUGAAGGAACUAGGCAAAAUGGUGCCGUAACUUCGGGAGAAGGCACGCUGAUAUGUAGGUGAAGCCCCUGCGGGUGGAGCUGAAAUCAGUCGAAGAUACCAGCUGGCUGCAACUGUUUAUUAAAAACACAGCACUGUGCAAACACGAAAGUGGACGUAUACGGUGUGACGCCUGCCCGGUGCCGGAAGGUUAAUUGAUGGGGUUAGCGGCAACGCGAAGCUCUUGAUCGAAGCCCCGGUAAACGGCGGCCGUAACUAUAACGGUCCUAAGGUAGCGAAAUUCCUUGUCGGGUAAGUUCCGACCUGCACGAAUGGCGUAAUGAUGGCCAGGCUGUCUCCACCCGAGACUCAGUGAAAUUGAACUCGCUGUGAAGAUGCAGUGUACCCGCGGCAAGACGGAAAGACCCCGUGAACCUUUACUAUAGCUUGACACUGAACACUGGUCCUUGAUGUGUAGGAUAGGUGGGAGGCUUUGAAGCGUGGACGCCAGUCUGCGUGGAGCC